RNAcentral lists this non-coding RNA (22 nucleotides) under Arabidopsis thaliana (thale cress). Lineage: Eukaryota; Viridiplantae; Streptophyta; Magnoliopsida; Brassicales; Brassicaceae. The record is from RNAcentral.
AGACUGGAGACUUUGUGGGCCU